CCUACGGGAGGCAGCAGUGGGGAAUAUUGCACAAUGGGGGAAACCCUGAUGCAGCGACGCCGCGUGAGCGAUGAAGUAUUUCGGUAUGUAACGCUCUAUCAGCAGGGAAGAAAAUGACGGUACCUGACUAAGAAGCCCCGGCUAAAUACGUGCCAGCAGCCGCGGUAAUACGUCGGGGGCAAGCGUUAUCCGGAUUGACUGGGUGUAAAGGGAGGGUAGACGGUCCUGCAAGCCAGAUGUGAAAGCCCGGGGCGCAACCCCGGGACUGCAUUUGGAACUGUGAGGCUAGAGUGGCGGAGAGGCAGGCGGAAGUCCUAGUGUAGCGGUGAAAGGCGUAGAUAUUAGGAGGAACACCAGUGGCGAAGGCGGCCUGCUGGACGAUGACUGACGUUGAGGCUCGAAAGCGUGGGGAGCAAACAGGAUUAGAUACCCCAGUAGUC
RNAcentral lists this ribosomal RNA (440 nucleotides) under uncultured bacterium. RNAcentral's name for it is "partial 16S ribosomal RNA". It matches the Rfam family "Bacterial small subunit ribosomal RNA", at positions 338 to 795 of the family's 1533-position model. The record is from RNAcentral.